This is a long non-coding RNA of Stegodyphus dumicola, 481 nucleotides long. The record is from RefSeq and is a predicted model, not a curated record. Lineage: Eukaryota; Metazoa; Arthropoda; Arachnida; Araneae; Eresidae.
CUGACUCGAAGAUUCCAAGCAAAGAAAAAGUUCUUCUUUCCUUUUCAUUUAUUUCAUUCCUUUUGAACGAAUGGUGCCAGCUUCCUUUUUGAGAUCUAAACUCCAUUCUUUCCCGAAAGCGUUUGUAUAUGAAAAGAGAGAGAGUGAAAGAGAGAAAAAGGAAGUAAGAUCGGAACUAGCAGGGUUGACGAAUGACUGAUGGUAAACCUUGUCUGUCUGAGAGCUUCCAUUGAAAUAGCUGUCCAAACGAUAAGCUGAAAUUGAAAUAUUAAAAGCGUCAUUAUCCGCUAGGUAGAAAUCAGCCUGUACAUGAAUUAAUACCCAGGACAAUAUUCAGAACAUUAUGAGCGAGACGACAUUUUUCGAAAGCAAAGUAAAUAAACAGUUGAUUAAUAUAACUGACUAAUUGACUAUAUCUGGACGUAUACCAUAAUGCCAGUCUUCACAAACCAAGCAAAACUGAAUUGUGGCUACCAGAUAA